AGUUCGAGACACACAAUGUUUCGGUACGCAAUGAUUCGAUAUUCAGGGAUUCGGAUUGAUGCAUUUGAGGCAGUUCCCUUUCACCUUGGCCCAAUGUCGGCGGCAUGAUCUGUUAGUGCUUCCCGGGGAUGGCCUCUGGACUCUGUGCUGAUGUUUUGUGGCAAUAACGGAGUGUUCGAGUUGAUAACUAUCCGUACGUACUAUGGUAACGGUCGAUGCAGUGCCCUCUCUUGAUGUCCACUGAUAUUGGACGUACAUAACCAAUUUCCGCUCAUCAUCCGGGGACUGGCAGCGUUGCUGGAAUCUUAUGUACAAUAAACAUCAUUGCGACAAGCUGUCUUCCAUGGCCCCGGGUUGAUGUAACAUGGACCCACCCAAUAAACAGCCCUAGGCUCCUUUGAAGAGCAUUCUACAGGGCCCUCACAUGGGGUGGG
Long non-coding RNA from Eriocheir sinensis (Chinese mitten crab), 434 nucleotides. RefSeq lists it as uncharacterized. The transcript has 3 exons. The record is from RefSeq and is a predicted model, not a curated record. NCBI's taxonomy places the organism in Eukaryota, Metazoa, Arthropoda, Malacostraca, Decapoda, Varunidae.